RNAcentral lists this ribosomal RNA (300 nucleotides) under uncultured bacterium. Its description in RNAcentral is "bacterial SSU rRNA". It matches the Rfam family "Bacterial small subunit ribosomal RNA", at positions 399 to 691 of the family's 1533-position model. The record is from RNAcentral.
GCGUGUGGGAAGAAGGCCUUCGGGUUGUAAACCACUUUUGUCAGGGAAGAAACGGCUUAGUUUAAUACGCUGAGCUAAUGACGGUACCUGAAGAAUAAGCACCGGCUAACUACGUGCCAGCAGCCGCGGUAAUACGUAGGGUGCAAGCGUUAAUCGGAAUUACUGGGCGUAAAGCGUGCGCAGGCGGCUUUGCAAGACAGAUGUGAAAUCCCCGGGCUCAACCUGGGAACUGCAUUUGUGACUGCAUGGCUAGAGUGCGGCAGAGGGGGAUGGAAUUCCGCGUGUAGCAGUGAAAUGCGU